RNAcentral lists this ribosomal RNA (253 nucleotides) under uncultured bacterium. RNAcentral describes it as "partial 16S ribosomal RNA". It matches the Rfam family "Bacterial small subunit ribosomal RNA", at positions 524 to 776 of the family's 1533-position model. The record is from RNAcentral.
CACGUAGGGCGCAAGCGUUGUCCGGAAUUAUUGGGCGUAAAGAGCUCGUAGGCGGUCUGUUACGUCUGCUGUGAAAACCCAGGGCUUAACCCUGGGCUUGCAGUGGAUACGGGCAGACUAGAGGCAGGUAGGGGAGAAUGGAAUUCCCGGUGUAGCGGUGAAAUGCGCAGAUAUCGGGAGGAACACCGGUGGCGAAGGCGGUUCUCUGGGCCUUACCUGACGCUGAGGAGCGAAAGCGUGGGGAGCGAACAGG